GUGGAUUAGAUACCCUAGUAGUCCACGCUGUAAACGAUGAAUACUAGGUGUAGGGGGUAUAAACUCCCUCUGUGCCGCAGCAAACGCAAUAAGUAUUCCGCCUGGGGAGUACGGCCGCAAGGUUGAAACUCAAAGGAAUUGACGGGGGCCCGCACAAGCAGCGGAGCAUGUGGUUUAAUUCGACGCAACGCGAAGAACCUUACCAAGGCUUGACAUCCACUUAAAGUUAUGGAAACAUAAUGUCCCUUCGGGGGAAGUGAGACAGGUGGUGCACGGUUGUCGACAGCU
RNAcentral lists this ribosomal RNA (288 nucleotides) under uncultured bacterium. RNAcentral describes it as "partial 16S ribosomal RNA". It matches the Rfam family "Bacterial small subunit ribosomal RNA", at positions 773 to 1060 of the family's 1533-position model. The record is from RNAcentral.